RNAcentral lists this long non-coding RNA (225 nucleotides) under Rattus norvegicus (Norway rat). Its description in RNAcentral is "long non-coding RNA NONRATT033359". Lineage: Eukaryota; Metazoa; Chordata; Mammalia; Rodentia; Muridae. The record is from RNAcentral.
CCUACAGAAAGGUUAACUUUUGAUUGUGUUAUAUUUAAUAUACAAUCAAGUGUACUUUACAGGAUUUGGAGGAUUUGGAGAUGAUAGAGCCAGUAAAAGAAAUAUAGAUCUCUGAGUGACACAAAGGAAUAUGAGACAUACAAGAAAGAAACCUCGUGUUCAACAUAGAAAUGGAAGAAAUGGAAAUGUUUAAUUACUCUUGAAGAAAUAAAACACGAACCUGUG